Non-coding RNA from Salvia hispanica, 682 nucleotides. Lineage: Eukaryota; Viridiplantae; Streptophyta; Magnoliopsida; Lamiales; Lamiaceae. The record is from RefSeq and is a predicted model, not a curated record.
UUGGUUUUCUCGAUUUGUCGAACAACAGUUUGUCUGGAAAAAUUCCAACCGGCACUCAACUUCAGAGCUUCAAUGCUUCGUAUUAUGCCGGUAAUGAUGGACUAUGUGGCAACCCUCUACCAAAGUGCCCCGGAGAUAUCUUGAGGCCAUCCACCACUAAUUCGAAGGGAAACAUGAAUGAGAAAGACAACGUCUUCUCAUUUAUGCAAGAAGUUGGCAUAUCGAUGGGCUUUGGUUUUAUAUUUGGAUUUUGGGGAGUUAUUGGUUCAUUCGUAUGGAAGAAAUCAUGGAGAAUUGCAUUCUUCAACUUGUUGGAUGUUGUUGGAGAUUGGUUCUACGUCAGGAUUGUUGUGUUUGUAUCCAAAUGGAGAAGAAAUUGAAAUGCAAUACAGCGGUGACACUACUCGCUUUAGAGAUGAAACAAGGUGAACAAACUCGGAGCUGGUGAUCUUAUUUCUAAGUUAUUGUAAUUUUAAUGUUUUAGUGUUUUUACUUUCCUAUGUAAACUGUAUGUUGGUAUGUAUAUGUUUUAUCUAGUCUAUGCAUAGUUUAUGACCCCGUAUUAAAUGCGUAUGUUGAUUUAUAUAAUUUUAUUUAGAUUACUGUAAUUAUGACUGAAUUUUUUAUGUGUAAGCAUAAUAUUAAUUACGAUUACUCUUAUAUCAAUUUAUAAUUUAUUUCA